GUGCGGAUUAAUUUAUACGUUUUAUUGAUACUCACGAACAACUUAAACUUAAGUUAAAAAUUAUAUGUGGUAAGUUUCGACAUUGUAAAUGGAAAUUCAUUUGAUUAAGUGAUAAAGUGUGUAAUAAAUGCGUUUUGAGACAAAAUUCUGUACAUUUUCACGAAGCAUGCUGUUUUGGUUUAUUACCACGUGUUCAGAUAUAUUGUCAACUUUUGCUACACAAAUUUUAUACAUGAAAAUAUAUUAAUUCUAGCUAUUCAUGAUCAUAUGUAUCUUUUUACAUCAUUUAAAAAUUUGCUGUUUUUAGCAAUAAUAUAUUUGUUAAUUUCGUAUGUGUUUAAAAAUUCAUUUCUAAAAACUGCAUAAGCGUCUAUGCCUUUUUUGUUUAUAAUUUGAUAUAUGAGUACUUUUAUGAACUGAAUAUAUUAAGACAGUUAGGAAGAGAUUUAUAUCAUUAUACAUAGGAUCAUGUAUUUUAUAGCCCAGUACUAAAGUUUUAAAAUUAAAAAUAUGUGACCCAAUUUUGAUUUUGCUUACAAGUACAUAUAUUUUCUUCCAAAAUUCAUGAAAGAAUUGACAUUUGAGAAAAAAGUGUUCGUAAUCUUCAGUCAAGUUACACAAGUCACACAUACUUGUUUCUUGUAUGUGCCAUUGUAGUAAUAAUUGUUUACAUGGGAGGAUGUAAUGGAGUAAUUUCCAUCUUAACAUUUUAUAUUUGUUAUUUAUUAAAUAGGUAAAAGUAAAUUGAAGCACAUUAUUUAUUGGAGUGAUUGAUUCUAGAUUGAAGAUGUUUUUCCAUUUGGAAAAUCCUAGUGGUCUCUCAUCAUUUUUGUUAUUUAAAUGGUUAUAUAUAUCUUUGGAUGACAUAUUUUCAAUUAAUUUUGAUUUUUUGUUAACAGUCAAGGACAAGUUUAAUUUUGUUUUUAUAGAAGUUUUCAAAGAUUUGUCAGAUUUUAAUGUACUAACCCAUUCUUUUGGAAUACAUUUUUUCAAUUUUAAAAAGUUCGAGAUCCAAUUAGUUUUUUGAGGUUAGUUUCUCCAAUAUAACUUUUUUUGUGAUAUGUGACCUUUUUGAUCAAUUAUAUCGUUAAUGAAAAUAAUACCAUCUUUUUUAUCCAAUUUAGGUAAACCUAAACAUUUUCCUUUAAAUUUUAUGUUUUAUUACCCCACAACAUUUGCUGCCUAAUAUUUCUAAAAUUUAUGAUAGGUGUAUUACUUGAUAGUGUAUUAUUUGCUUCGUACCAGCUCUUUAACAUGUUCAAGUAAAAUGAGGGUAGUAUAUUACUUAAAUUAGGUAAUGAUUUUAUGUUGUCAGGCAUCAUAUGAAAUAUAAGGUUGUUUUUACCAAAUUUAUUGAAAUAAUAUGUUGGAAUGACUUUCCAAUUAGCAAAUUCUUUUGCCGGUUAAUCGUUUAACCCAUGAAAUUUGUAAUGCAUUUAAAAAGUAAUCAAUGUCUGUCAUUUUAGACCUCCAUUUGUGUAAUCUUUGGUAAGUGUUGAACGUUUUACCUUUUCUUGUUUAUUAUUCCAUAUAAAAUUGUAUAUGAGUUUUUUUAAAAUCUUUUAUGUACAUUUGGGGUAUUGAAACAACCGAAGCUAAAAAAGUAAGAUUAGGUAAAAUAAGCGACUUAACAACUGUUAUUCGACCUAUCAUUGUUAAAUUUCUUUUUUCCCAAUCAAGUAUUAAUUUUUUUUUGACUGUUUCAUUGUUUUUUUCAAUAUUUAAUUUGUCACAUUCACUUUUAUUUAAUCCAAAGUAGACACCUAAACUUUUAAUUGGUUCUUUGCUCCAGUGUAUAUUUUCAAUUUUUUCUUUACAAUGUUUAAGUCUACCAACCAUAUACCUUCUGUUUUAGAUUUAUUCAGUUUUAAACCAGAAAGCGUUCCAAAUAUUUCUAUUAGGUUCAAUGCUUGGUGAAUUUCAUUUUUAGAAUUGAGAAAGAGGGUUGUAUCAUCAGCUAAUUGGGAAAUUUUUAGACUAUGUGUUUUUUCAUCAAGUUUAAUUUGAAAUCCUUUAAUGUUAGAUCUUGUCUUACUCUACAGGCCAAGAUUUCAACUGCUAUUACAAAAAUAAGAGAACUUAACGGACAUCCUUGUUUUAUACCACGGUGAAGUCUAUAGGUUUCUGAGAUCCAGCCGUUAUUAGACAGGCAUCCUUUAGUAUCAUUAUAUAACGUUUUUAACCCAUUUUUAAGAAGGAAGGUGGUACUCCAAAUUUUAAUAGGGAUUCAUACAUGAAGGGCCAUUCUAAAGAAUCAAAGGCUUUGGAAAAGUCUAUGAACAAUAAGAUUCCUUCUAUAUUAAAUUUUUUCUGAGUAGUCUAUUAUAUCUUGAAUCUGGCGAAUAUUAAAACCUAUGUACCGAUUUUUAAUAUAUCCAUUCUGAUCACUAUGAAUAAUUUUGGACAACACUAGCUUUAAUCGCUGCGCUAAGGCAUAGGCCAUAAGCUUAGUGUCUACAUUUAAUAAAGUGAUUGGCCUGUAGUUGUCUAAUGAUAAUGGAUCAUUUUUUUUUAUAUAAUAAGGAAAUAACACCUAUUUUUUGGAGUGUUGUCAUUUCUUCUUUUUCAUAACAUGUAUUAAAUACUUUCACUGCGGAUUCUUUUAUGUAUGACCAAAAGGUACGAUAAAAUUCUACACUUAAACCAUCUAGUCCAGGGGAUUUAUUUAGUUUCAUAUUAAAUAUAGCAUUUGUACAUUCUUCUACUGUUAGGUUGCCCCCCAAUAGUUCACUCUCAGUAUUGGAUAGUGAGUGAUCUAUCUUUGUUUCACUUAUAUAAUUUUUUAUUUCAGAAGGAUCUGGUUCAGUACUUUUAUAUAAAUUUUGGUAAUAGUUUUUCCCAAGAAUAAGAAUAUCGGAUGCAUCUGUAACUAUGUUACCUUGAUUAUUUUUGAGGGCAGAAAUAGUUUUCUUAGUUUGUCUUGAUUUUUCAAGACCCAAAAAAUAUUUUGUGUUUUUUUCCCCUUCUUCUGCCCAUUUGACUCGGGAUCUGAUUUGUGCACCUCUAGUUUCUUUUAUAUAUAAAUUUUGUAAAUUGUUUUCUACAUUAUUUAUUUCUAUUUUAGAAUGUUCAGAAUUACUUGAUUUUUCGUAUAAGAAUUUUAACUUAUUUUCUAAAUGUUUAAUUUCAUUUUUACUUUCAGCAGCCUUUUGUUUGCAGUAUGUAAUGGUUGCCUCCCUUACUUCAGUUUUCAGAAUGUCCCAAGUAACUCGAGGAUCGUUAUUUUUGGUGAGUAUUAUUUCUUUAUGGGUGUCAAUUAAUUUAAUUAUUAUUUCUUUGUAUUUUGUAUCAUUCAGUAUACUGUUAUUUAUCUUAAAGAAUCCUUUGCCUUUAUUUUGAGCUUUAAGUCUUAUUUGUAAAGAGAUCGCUUGAUGAUCUGUAUGUGAUAUUAGUGCAGGUCUUAUGUCUGCUGAUAUUAUGUGAGGUCUUAUAUCUGGGCUUAUUAGAAAAAAAUCAAUUCUGCUUGCAACACUUCUAUUGUUUUUUCUUCUCCAUGUAAAUUGACUGCUGUUUUGAUUUAGUUCUCUCCAAAUAUCAAUAAGUUUAUAUUUUUUUUAUUAGUUGCUUUAAACUGUUAACAGGUUUAUUUUGAUUAUUAGGGCUAAUACUUUUUCUAUCAAAUGAAGUUAAACUUUCAUUCAUAUCACCCCCAUUAUUAAUAUUCCUAAGCGGUUAUUAUUAAUGAUAUUGUUUACUUUUUUGAAAAAUGAGUUUCUAUUUCGACGAAUGUUUGGAGCAUAUAUAUUCAGUAGUGUAAAGAUAUUACCAUCAAGUUCUAUAUUAAUGAGUAUUAUUCUUCCAUCAUUAUCUCUAGUUUCAUUAAUAAUUUUAUGUUUUAUGUUUUCUUUUAUAAGAAUUGUUACGCCUCUUGAUUGUGAAUUUCCGAAACUAUGGUAAAGUUUCCCUUUUAUCUCAUUGUUUAUAACAUUUUCAUGUUUUUCAAUAAAAUGUGAUUCUUGUAUGAAUAAAAUAUUACAUUUUUGUGUUUUUGCACAUAGGUUUAAUCUUUCUCUCUUUUCUUUGUGCCCUAAGCCUUGACAGUUUUAGGGAACAUAUAUUUAGUUUUUCACUCAUUAUAGAUAUAAUUCAUUUCUAUAUUACACAUAUCUUCAGAAUUAUACAACAGAGACAAUAGGUUGAGCUUAAAAAGUAAAUAAGUUGAUGUCAUAUUGUUAAUAUACACAUUGAAAUUGUUUACAUACACAUAUAAAAUUAUACACAUAUAAAUCAUAUAGAUAGGGUUGAUUUCUAAAUUACAUAGUAUCAUGUGUUUAAAACCAACAUUAAUGACGAUGAACUUUAUGUUGUGUGUGAUAAUCAUAUACUUGUUUACAUGUAUGUUUAUUUUUCUUUUCAGGUUGAGAUAUCUGUUGCAUAGAUGAGAUUUUGCAUUUUGCACAAGUUUACUUUUUGGAGUUUCAUGAUACGUAAAUGGGAGCAUUUUUCUCCCAGCGUUAUGAAGACUGUGAUUUU
This 4473-nucleotide long non-coding RNA is filed under the name Mytilus galloprovincialis (Mediterranean mussel). Lineage: Eukaryota; Metazoa; Mollusca; Bivalvia; Mytilida; Mytilidae. The record is from RNAcentral.